UAUAAUAACUAUGAUGUUUAUAAAUUGUUUGGCAAUGUUUUUUUUUAUUUUAUUUUUUUUUUUUUUCUUCAAAUUUUUUAAGUUUAUUUUGCUUUUCUAAUCCCUUUAUUGUAAUACUACUAUAUCAUAUGUUUCAAUAUUAUUUAUAAAUUAUACUCUUUUUUCUUUAGUGUUUUUGUUUAGUGUUUUUUUUUGGCGUUUUUUUUUUUGGUGUUUUUUUUUGGCGUUUUUUUUUUUUGGUGUUUUUUUUUUAAUGUUUUUUUGUAGUGUUUUUUUGUAGUGUUUUUUUGUAGUGUUUUUUUUUUUUAGGGAUUUUUGUAAUACACUAUAAGCGGUAAUAUACUCGCAUUUUUAUUUUUUUUUUUUUUUUCUUUUGUAAGUAGUAAUUUUUUUUUUGAGUGCUUUAUUAUAAAAAAUAUUAACACAAAAAGGAAAUAAAAUUAUAAAUAACUAAAAACGAUGGACGAAAUGAAUGAUCCGCAAUAUGCGUUAAAUAUAAGCACAACAUUGAAUAAUAAUAAUAAUCAAAACAAAAAUUCGAAUAAAAACAAUAAUUAUAUUAUGGAUACAACGACAGAAAAAGAGAUGACAAUUUUAAAUAAUUCUAAUAGUAUAUUAAAUAUGGGAAUGAACAACAAUCAUAAUGAAUCAAGUUAUAAUAAUAACAAUUUAGAAGACAUUGAUAUAUUAUGUAAAUAUAAAAACGACAUAAAAAAUGAUGAUAAAAAAGAAUCGACUUUUAUAAACAUACCAAAUGCAACCCAUUUAAACAAAAUUGAAACUUGUUUAGAAUUGAACGAUGUUGAAAUCGAUAAUAUUGAAGUGAAAUAUGCUUCAAUUAAAAACAAAUUAUACAAAGCAUUAUUUGUUCGGAUAAUAUACGUUUUAAUAUAUGGUAUAUUUUGUGUAACAUUGCAAUGUUAUUUUAUAAUAUUAAGUGAUACUUAUUAUAAAACUGGGGAAACUCCAUUAAAAGAUAGGGUUCAUGAAAUAUUUUCUGAAAAACCUUCUUUUAUGACUACACCAUUCGUUAAUAAUCAGAUAAUUUUUUUUUUAAUUAUCACCUUGUUAAGGUUUGGUUUAUUUGUCCCAUUUUCACUGGGAAUAACUAUAUAUAUAAGAAUUAUAGUUAUGUUUUCAACAACCUAUUUACUAAGAACAAUAUUUAUUUACUCAACUACAAUUCCGUGUCCCGUUCCUACGUGUGUACCUUUAGAAAAUAAAUGUAUAUUACAUAACCUUUACUCGAUAUAUCUUAUAAUUACAGCAAAAGUAUAUGAAUGUACAGAUUUAAUUAUAUCAGGACAUACUGCUUUUACAACUAUAUUACAACUUAUGUGGUUUUUUUAUGAAAAACGGAUUUACUUAAAAAUACGGCCGUUAAGCGAUACGCAUUGA
This 1398-nucleotide long non-coding RNA is filed under the name Piliocolobus tephrosceles (Ugandan red Colobus). RNAcentral's name for it is "lncRNA (ENSPTEG00000006279.1)". Lineage: Eukaryota; Metazoa; Chordata; Mammalia; Primates; Cercopithecidae. The record is from RNAcentral.